GCAUUUAAGCAGAAAGUGUUUCAGGCUCUGCAGAGGUGACACUGGCGUGUUUCUGCACUCAGGGUGCCCUUCCUGCCUUUUCCUCCCGGACACAGAGUCACAAGUGUGCACAGGGAAUGACAGACUCGGCGUCCAGUGGAGCCAUCCCCUGGCCUCGGAGUAGGAGGCGCGCCCAGGCCAGGCCAGACCACAGUGUAACAGGAGGGAGGAGGGCUUGCUUCUUUCAGGCAAGAAAAUUAAAACGGACAAAGAAAUAAAAGUAUUAAAUGUAUAGGAAAAACUGGAGUUUUUAUGACAGCGAUCAUCUAUAAAGAAACCAAGAGAAGUAAGCAAACAUUUGAACUAGCUCAGACAAGCAGCCUGCUUCACCCGCAGUUCACAAGGAAAACCCACAAUCAUAACGUUAAAAAUAUUCCCAAGCGCCGGGCGCGGUGGCUCACGCCUGUAAUCCCAGAACUUUGGAAGGCCAAGGUGAGAAAAUUGCUUAAGGUCAGGAGUUCAAGACCAGCCUAACCAACAUGGUGAAACCCCAUCUCUACUAAAAAUACAAAAAUUAGCCAGGCGUGGUGGCAGGUGCCUGUAAUCCCAGCAACUCGGGAAGCUGAGGUACGAGAAUCGCUUGAACCUGGGAGGGGGAAGUUGCAGUGAGCCGAGAUAGCGCCAUUGCACUCCAGCCUGGGCGACAGAGCGAGACUAAAAAAUGAAAUAUGAAAUGAAAUGAAAUAAUGAAAUGAAGAAAUGAAAUAUAAAAUAAAAUAAUCCCAAGCUUGGGACCCAGACUCUAACUGCUGAAAUGGAACCCCAGUGUGGAUCAGAACCUGGUGAUGAGACAGGGACACUUAAGAAUUCAACUUUGGGAGCUCAAGGUGCCCUCCAGUCCUCUCCUCACAGUGUGGAAACACUCUUUCCUUCAAAACCUUCAUUUGUACCAGCAGGAAACUCUCACCCGGAGUCAAUGUAAAGUCGUGACCUAAAUAAAUUGUCAUGUUCCCAAACCUUUUCUCCAGGGGACAAUGCAAACAAGUUUUUCACUGAGUCUGACCCUCACAGAUUUUCUUCAUGUAUACAAAUUACAGCCUGACUCAGCGACCCCAUGAAUGCUAAAACCAAAACACUGUCCAGGAAAUGGCCCCAGGCGCCAAAGGCUCCAGACUGGUCUCAGGCUCUCCUGCCCACUGCAGUUUAUUCACUUGCUUCUCACCAACACUGAUCCACUUAGAACUCUAAUGUGAUCGUGGGUCAUAAGACUCUCACUCCAAAGAGUGUCCUGUCCUGUACGCUGGGGAAAGGAAUGCUACACAGAAGCCAAAAAUUAUCUGGACAGGGGUUGGAUGCAGUGGUUCACGCCUGUAAUCCCAGCACUUUGGGAGGCUGCGGAGGGAGGAUUGCUCGAGCCCAGGAAUUCAAGACCAGCCUGGGAAAGAUGUCGAGACCCCAUCUCUAUGAAAAAUAAAUAAAAAGGCCGGACGCGGUGGCUCAUGCCUAUAAUCCCAGCACUUCAGGAGGCUGAGGUGGGCGGAUCAUGAGGUCAAGAGAUCGAGACCCUCCUGGCCAACAUGGUGAAACCCCCGUCUCUACUAAAAAUACAAAAAUUAGCUGGGCGUGGUGGCGCGUGCCUGUAGUCCCAGCUACUUGUAGUCCCAGCUACUUGGGAGGCUGAGCCAGGAGAAUCACUUGAACCCAGGAGGCA
This 1690-nucleotide long non-coding RNA is filed under the name Homo sapiens (human). RNAcentral's name for it is "non-protein coding lnc-ZNF791-1:5". The record is from RNAcentral. Lineage: Eukaryota; Metazoa; Chordata; Mammalia; Primates; Hominidae.